This 459-nucleotide ribosomal RNA is filed under the name uncultured bacterium. RNAcentral's name for it is "partial 16S ribosomal RNA". It matches the Rfam family "Bacterial small subunit ribosomal RNA", at positions 338 to 795 of the family's 1533-position model. The record is from RNAcentral.
CCUACGGGUGGCAGCAGUGAGGAAUAUUGGUCAAUGGGCGCGAGCCUGAACCAGCCAAGUCGCGUGAGGGAAGACGGUCCUAUGGAUUGUAAACCUCUUUUGUCGGGGAGCAAAAGACGCCACGCGUGGCGUUCCGAGAGUACCCGAAGAAAAAGCAUCGGCUAACUCCGUGCCAGCAGCCGCGGUAAUACGGAGGAUGCGAGCGUUAUCCGGAUUUAUUGGGUUUAAAGGGUGCGCAGGCGGAAGAUCAAGUCAGAGGUAAAAUUGAGAGGCUCAACCUCUGCGAGCCGUUGAAACUGGUUGUCUUGAGUGAGUGAGAGGUAUGCGGAAUGCGUAGUGUAGCGGUGAAAUGCAUAGAUAUCACGCAGAACUCCGAUUGCGAAGGCAGCAUACCGGCGCUCAACUGACGCUCAUGCACGAAAGUGUGGGUAUCGAACAGGAUUAGAUACCCUGGUAGUC